Molecule: unclassified non-coding RNA, 18 nt
Filed under: Chlamydomonas reinhardtii
Lineage: Eukaryota; Viridiplantae; Chlorophyta; Chlorophyceae; Chlamydomonadales; Chlamydomonadaceae
Description: small RNA Cre_2361
Source: RNAcentral
UAGUUGUAGUGUGGUGGU